This 427-nucleotide ribosomal RNA is filed under the name uncultured Methylococcaceae bacterium. RNAcentral describes it as "partial 16S ribosomal RNA". It matches the Rfam family "Bacterial small subunit ribosomal RNA", at positions 355 to 774 of the family's 1533-position model. Lineage: Bacteria; Pseudomonadati; Pseudomonadota; Gammaproteobacteria; Methylococcales; Methylococcaceae. The record is from RNAcentral.
UGGGGAAUAUUGGGCAAUGGGCGCAAGCCUGACCCAGCAAUGCCGCGUGUGUGAAGAAGGCCUGCGGGUUGUAAAGCACUUUGAGCGGGGAAGAAGGGGGCCUGGCGAACAACCCGGCCCCUUGACGUUACCCGCAGAACAAGCACCGGCUAACUCCGUGCCAGCAGCCGCGGUAAUACGGAGGGUGCGAGCGUUAAUCGGAAUUACUGGGCGUAAAGCGUGCGUAGGCGGCCCGGUCAGUCUCGCGUGAAAGCCCCGGGCUCAACCUGGGAACUGCGCGGGAUACUGCCGGGCUGGAGUGCGGGAGAGGGCGGUGGAAUUUCCGGUGUAGCAGUGAAAUGCGUAGAGAUCGGAAGGAACACCAGUGGCGAAGGCGGCCGCCUGGACCGACACUGACGCUGAGGCACGAAAGCGUGGGGAGCAAACA